RNAcentral lists this ribosomal RNA (3060 nucleotides) under Triticum aestivum (bread wheat). Its description in RNAcentral is "eukaryotic LSU rRNA". It matches the Rfam family "Eukaryotic large subunit ribosomal RNA". The record is from RNAcentral. Lineage: Eukaryota; Viridiplantae; Streptophyta; Magnoliopsida; Poales; Poaceae.
CAAAAUGUCACGGAUGUGUCUUUUUUUUGUAGUGUAGCGAACAAGUACCGUGAGGGAAAGAUGAAAAGGACUUUGAAAAGAGAGUCAAAGAGUGCUUGAAAUUUCCGGGAGGGAAGCGGAUGGGGGCCGGCGAUGCGCCCCGGCCGUAUGCGCGCGGAACGGCUCUUGCUGGUCCGCCGCUCGACUCGGGGUGUGGACUGUUGUCGGCCGCGCCGACGGCCAAAGCCCGGGGGCCCUAGGUGCCCCCGAUGGCCGUCGUCGGCACGGCCGGUACCCGCGCGCCGAAAGGCGUGUCCCUCGGGGCACUGCGCUGCAAUGGCCUGCGGGCUCCCCAUCCGACCCGUCUUGAAACACGGACCAAGGAGUCUGACAUGCGUGCGAGUCGAUGGGUUCUAGAACCUGGGAUGCGCAAGGAAGCUGACGAGCGGGAGGCCCUCACGAGCCACACCGCUGGCCGACCCUGAUCUUUCGUGAAGGGUUUGAGUUGGAGCACGCCUGUCGGGACCCGAAAGAUGGUGAACUAUGCCUCAGCGGGGCGAAGCCAGAGGAAAAUCUGGUGGAGGCUCGAAGCGAUACUCACGUGCAAAUCGUUCGUUACUUGGGUAUAGGGGCGAAAGACUAAUCGAACCAUCUAGUAGCUGGUUCCCUCCGAAGUUUCCCUCAGGAUAGCUGGAGCCCAUUAUGAGUUCGAUCAGGUAAAUCCAAUGAUUAGAGGCAUUGGGGACGCAACGUCCUCGACCUAUUCUCAAACUUUAAAUAGAUAGGAUGGCGCGGCUGCUUCGGUGAGCCGUGCCAUGGAAUCGGGUGCUCCAAGUGGGCCAUUUUUGGUAAGCGGAACUGGCGAUGCGGGAUGAACCGGAAGCCGGGAUACGGUGCCCAACUGCGCGCUAACCUAGAACCCACAAAGGGUGUUGGUCGAUUAAGACAGCAGGACGGUGGUCAUGGAAGUCGAAAUCCGCUAAGGAGUGUGUAACAACUCACCUGCUGAAUCAACUAGCGCAAAAAAUGGAUGGCGCUGAAGAGCGCGACCCACACCCGGCCAUCUGGGCGAGCGCCAUGCCCCGAUGAGUAGGAGGGCGCGGCGGCCGCUGCAAAACCCGGGGCGUGAGCCCGGGCGGAGCGGCCAUCGGUGAAGAUCUUGGUAGUAGUAGAAAAUAUUCAAAUGAGAACUUUGAAGGCCGAAGAGGAGAAAGGUUCCAUGUGAACGGCACUUGCACAUGGGUAAGCCGAUCCUAAUGGACGGGGUAACCCUGGCAGAUAGCGCGAUCACGCGCAUCCCCUGAAAGGGAAUCGGGUUAAGACUUCCCGAGCCGGGAUGUGGUGGUUGACGGCGACGUUAGGAAGUCCGGAGAUGCCGGCGGGGGCCUUGGGAAGAGUUAUCUUUUCUGCUUAACGCCCUGCCAACCCUGGAAACGGUUCAGCCGAAGGUAGGGUCCCAUGGCCGGAAGAGCACCGCACAUCGCGCGGUGUCCGGGGCACCCCCGGCGGCCCAUGAAAAUCCGGAGGACCGAGUACCGUUCACGCCUGGUCGUACUCAUAACCGCAUCAGGUCUCCAAGGUGAAUAGCCUCUGGCUAAUGGAACAAUAUUGUAGGCAAGGGAAUUCGGCAAAACGGAUCCGUAACUUAGGGAAAAGGAUUUGCUCUGAGGACUGGGCUCGGGGGUCCCGGCCCCGAACCCGUCGGCUGUCGGCGGAUUGCUUGAGCUGCUCACGUGGCAAGAGCGGGUCGCCGCAUGCCGGCCGGGGUCGGACCGGGAAUCGCCCCUUCGGGGGCUUUCCCCGAGCAUGAAACAGUCGACUCAGAACUGGUAUGGAGAAGGGGAAUCCGACUGUUUAAUUAAAACAAAGCAUUGCGAUGGUCCUCGCGGAUGCUGACGCAAUGUAACUUCUUCCCAGUGCUCUGAAUGUCAAAGUGAAGAAAUUCAACCAAGCGCGGGUAAACGGUGGGAGUAACUAUGACUAUCUUAAGGUAGCCAAAUGCCUCGUCAUCUAAUUAGUGACGCGCAUGAAUAGAUUAACGAGAUUCCCACUGUCCCUAGCUACUAUACAGUGAAACCACGGCCAAGGGAACGGGCUUGGCGGAAUCAGCGGGGAAAGAAGACCUUGUUGAGCUUGACUCUAGUCCGACUUUGUGAAAUGACUUGGUGGUGUAGGAUAAGUGGGAGCCCUCACGGGCGCAAGUGCAAUACCACUACUUUUAACGUUAUUUUACUUAUUCCGUGGGUCGGAAGCGGGGCAUGUCCCCUCCUUUUGGCUCCAAGGCCCGGUCUUACCCGGCCGAUCCGGGCGGAAGACAUUGUCAUGUGGGGAUUUUGGCUGGGGCGGCACAUCUGUUAAAAGAUAACGCAGGUGUCCUAAGAUGAGCUCGACGAGAACAGAAAUCUCGUGUGGAACAAAAGGGUAAAAGCGUGGCCUAUCGAUCCUUUAGAUCUUCGGAGUUUGAAGCUAGAGGUGUCAGGAAAGUUACCAUAGGGAUAACUGGCUUGUGGCAGCCAAGCAUUCAUAGCGACGUUACUUUUUGAUCCUUCGAUGUCGGCUCUUCCUAUCAUUGCGAAGCAGAAUUCACCAUGUGUUGGAUUGUUCACCCACCAAUAAGGAACGUGAGCUGGGUUUGGACCGUCGUGAGACAGGUUAGCUUUACCCUACUGAUGACAGUGUCGCGAUAGUAAUUCAACCUAGUACAAGUGGAACCGUUGAUUCACACAAUUGGUCAUCGCGCUUGGUUAAAAAGCCAGUGGCGCGAAGCUACCAUGUGCCGGAUUAUGACUGAACGCCACUAAGUCAGAAUCCAAGCUAGCAUGCGACGCCUGCGCCCGCCGCCCGCCCCGACCCACGUUAGGGGCACUUGCGCCCCCAAGGACCCAUGCCAUUGGCUAAGCCGGUCCGGCCGACGUGCCGCGGCCGGCCGCCUCGAAGCUCCCUUCCCAAAGGGCGGUGGGAUGAAUCCUUUGCAGACGACUUAAAUAUGCGAAGGGGCAUUGUAAGUGGCAGAGUGGCCUUGCUGCCACGAUCCACUGAGAUCCAACCCCAUGUUGCGCGGAUUCGUCCCUCCCCCACAAC